RNAcentral lists this ribosomal RNA (373 nucleotides) under uncultured organism. Its description in RNAcentral is "partial 16S ribosomal RNA". It matches the Rfam family "Bacterial small subunit ribosomal RNA", at positions 527 to 896 of the family's 1533-position model. The record is from RNAcentral.
GUAGGUGGCAAGCGUUGUCCGGAAUUAUUGGGCGUAAAGCGCGCGCAGGCGGUCCUCUAAGUCUGAUGUGAAAGCCCACGGCUCAACCGUGGAGGGUCAUUGGAAACUGGGGGACUUGAGUACAGAAGAGGAAAGCGGAAUUCCAAGUGUAGCGGUGAAAUGCGUAGAGAUUUGGAGGAACACCAGUGGCGAAGGCGGCUUUCUGGUCUGUAACUGACGCUGAGGCGCGAAAGCGUGGGGAGCAAACAGGGAUUAGAUACCCUGGUAGUCCACGCCGUAAACGAUGAGUGCUAAGUGUUAGGGGGUUUCCGCCCCCUUAGUGCUGCAGCUAACGCAUUAAGCACUCCGCCUGGGGAGUACGGCCGCAAGGCUG